This is a long non-coding RNA of Neopelma chrysocephalum (saffron-crested tyrant-manakin), 2349 nucleotides long. RefSeq lists it as uncharacterized. Lineage: Eukaryota; Metazoa; Chordata; Aves; Passeriformes; Pipridae. The record is from RefSeq and is a predicted model, not a curated record. The transcript is spliced from 5 exons.
CACAAAAGAAUUCUCGAGACAGCAACAGGCUUCAGCUGGCUUCAGCCCUUCCCAGAGACUGGGGACACCCAGCUUUGUGACAAUGAGCAUAUUAUACAGACCUGUAAUGGGGGUGACAUUAGCAUUGUGAUUGAACUGGGCAACUGCUAUGUUUUGGUACAGAAGGCAAAGAAAGAUAUCUGUCUCCUUCCCAGGAAGGAAGAAUUGUGUCCAGGGCAGUACAGAGAUCAGUCCCAGGCUACUCCUCGUGGUGGUGCUUGGGCAGAAAUGCCAACGCUGCUCCGCUGUCCAGCACUGCGGCUCUCAGCGUACUGUAAGACCUUCAUGCACCAAAAUGUGCAGGCCGAGGAAGACUGGAAAAGGAAAUGGGACCUCGCUUCCUAGUCUCCAUCAUCUCUUGGAGAAGAAGCAACAAACUGGGUUUUUGGUUAUACCUCUUAUCCUAGUCCUCCAGCAUGAGUGCCUACAUGCACCUGAAGGCAUUUCUGACAGUGAAUCCCAGGGCAGCUCAUCGUUCUGUCAGUAAUGCAACAAACAGUAAGAAAAUCUUAUUAUGCUAGUGGUUUGCUAGUGCACUCUGAGAGACACAGCCUUUCCCCUCCAAGCUCUUCAGAUCCGAGCACACAGCCAUGUGUUUUAUUGGGGCAGAACAGGAAGGAGCCGGUGGGGUACCAGCAGGUCAGUAACACUGCAACAGUACAGGACCUGGGGCUUGAGGGCUUAAACUGCAGAUUCUUCCAUCAGAGCUCACUGUUGCCACUGAUUGUCACGGGAAAGCUUCUGGGUUGCUUCUUCUGUAUUUGCUUUCGUUUUCCUUUAUCUUAAUGUUUUUAUACUAGGUACCACCUUUGCCUGCCCUGCCCUUCCCGGGAGUCCUCCGUGUUCCGGAAGCCGGGACUGAUGGACAUGGGCGAUCAAGCAGUGCCUCUCACAGAAAGGUCUGUGAGCGAAGCGGCAGUUCCAAUGAAAACAUGCAUUUCUGCAUUAAUCCACUUAGAAAUCUGAACUACUGGUCUGAGGAGCUUUGCUGGAUAUUUCAUUGGAACAGUAUUAUCAGCACGGAGCAGGAAAGUAAAGCAGAAAGAAGCUGCAAAUGCAGUCGUGGCAAGCAUGUUCUAUUCUCCACUUAAAUACAUUCAGGAAGGGUUUUGGUUCAGGCCUGAGUGAAAACAAAGAAACAUUGGUGGAUUUAUUCUGUUUGUUGGUAUGUUUUGCAAAUAUAAAUGCCCCAAUACUUGACUUCCUUACCUACUUCAAACAGAACCAGUUUAUGUGACAGAACACAACUGGGUGAGGCAAAAGACAUCACUGCAUGAAGGAGUCCCAAAUCGGUGUCAUUUUCAUUGGGCAGUGAGUGAUUCCAGCCUUGAAUAUCAAGGCUUUGUUUAAGUUAGACACCACUGGAAGAGUAGCUGGAUUGCUGCAACCUUUUGCUACUGUUUAAAAUGCAAUCCCUGUACAUCUUUCUCUCUGAUGUCCUCUACUUGCAGCUGCAAUAUCUCCUUGUUGGCCCUGCCUCUGCUAUUCAGCUGACUCCGUAGUAAGUGAAAUCAGCUUUCAGAGACUUGAAACUGAAGUUUUGAUUCGUAUGAGCAAAGUGUGAAUGGACAUGGGUGUGUGCGAGCACCAGAAGAAACAGCAGAACAAAGGUUAAAAGAAUGGCCUGUGUUGAUAAUGAAAAACACAGCAGUAAAGGCAGUAAAAUCGAGAAACACCUUCUGUCAAACCAGGCAAAUCUGCACACUGGAGCACAGACAACUUGUGAGCAGAAGAGCCUCCCAUCUGACAGCUGGACAUGGCACAUCACAAAUGCCAUUUAUUUCCUGUUGGUUCACCUGGAAGCAAACCAUAAAAUAAGGAAGCACAGAAAAUGGGCAAAGAAGUUCCAUAAGGUGCAUGGAGGUAGAAGUAACUGGACUGUGAAGCACAAGGAUGCCACCACAGUCAGUGCUGGGUCCCAUAGCUUUCGUACCUGCAGAAAAGACCCCUCCAAGGCGGCUUGCCACUGGCAGUGAAAAGUAACACAAGAGAUACCAAAAGGGUGGGAUGGUUGGUGCCCAUCUUCCCUUAUGCUGCUUGCAAUGUGGGUCCUGAAAAAACCUGUGGAGCGCACACACUCCUGAGGAGCUGUGACUAUAAGGUUUUGACAGUGUGAACCAAGUUGAAUAUUGAGUUGCUUGACCACAUUCCAGGAUGAAGAGCCCUGCUACACUGGCUCACCGUGAUCUCUUGGGGUGCUCUCAGACCCUCUCUGUGGGCUCUGGGGCUCUGCAGGGCUGGGAUUGGGAGUGUGGGGUGGGAGCUGGAACGUCUCGGAGCUGGAGCCGAGAUGAAGAUCCUGCAGUGAGA